GAUGAACGCUAGCUACAGGCUUAACACAUGCAAGUCGAGGGGCAGCGGGAUUGAAGCUUGCUUCAAUUGCCGGCGACCGGCGCACGGGUGAGUAACGCGUAUCCAACCUUCCGCUUACUCGGGGAUAGCCUUUCGAAAGAAAGAUUAAUACCCCAUGGUUCCGGUCCUUCGCAUGGAGGUCCGUAUAAAGAUUUAUCGGUAUGAGAUGGCGAUGCGUCCCAUUAGUUAGUUGGCGGGGUAACGGCCCACCAAGGCGACGAUGGGUAGGGGUUCUGAGAGGAAGGUCCCCCACAUUGGAACUGAGACACGGUCCAA
RNAcentral lists this ribosomal RNA (315 nucleotides) under uncultured bacterium. RNAcentral's name for it is "bacterial SSU rRNA". It matches the Rfam family "Bacterial small subunit ribosomal RNA", at positions 28 to 334 of the family's 1533-position model. The record is from RNAcentral.